UACGUAGGGUGCGAGCGUUAAUCGGAAUUACUGGGCGUAAAGCGUGCGCAGGCGGCGCGUUAAGACAGGUGUGAAAGCCCCCGAGCUUAACUUGGGGAAUUGCGCUUGUGACUGGCGUGCUGGAGUGUGGCAGAGGGAGGUGGAAUUCCACGUGUAGCAGUGAAAUGCGUAGAGAUGUGGAGGAACACCGAUGGCGAAGGCAGCCUCCUGGGCCAGCACUGACGCUGAGGCGCGAAAGCUAGGGGAGCAAACAGG
RNAcentral lists this ribosomal RNA (255 nucleotides) under uncultured bacterium. RNAcentral's name for it is "partial 16S ribosomal RNA". It matches the Rfam family "Bacterial small subunit ribosomal RNA", at positions 524 to 776 of the family's 1533-position model. The record is from RNAcentral.